GUCUUUGAGGGGUGGGACAACUAUCCUCCUGCCUGAGUUUGUAAGUUCAGAACAGGCAUUUUUACAGUUAUAAAUCAAAAGUUACAUGUUACCUUAUAGCAUGGGAUACAGACAUUACAAGUAAGAUUAAUGCAUGCAGCAACUUACAAGCAUUUUACACAUCCUUACAAGUCUAACACCUAUCCUGAACAAUACUAACCUGCAGAUGAGCUGGUCUGGUUUCCAGCUACGAAUUUGUCAGUGCUCAUUUGACGCCUACAGCUUUGGCAAGAGCUGGAACCUAGUCUACCAGUGUCAUAUUUUUAUAUCACCAAAAACAGUGGGCUCUAAUCUAUAUGGGGUCUCUGUGUGUUCUCACAAUAUAGAUUAUUUCUUUAAAAAGUAAGAUAUUUUCAUAACACUCCAAAAUACUGUGCUUGGACUAGAUUGGAUUUAACUACUUAUUUUAAUAAAACCACCUUGGCUACUCUUGCAUUGCCAAGUUUAGUUAUUUGUACAUAUUGCUUCUCAAACACAACAGUUCUUUUGAGAGAAAUUGCCAUGAUUAAAUCAGAUUCUGAAGUACAGUAGUUGUUUUACAAUCCAUGAAUAAAAUGUGAUUGGAUUUUUUGCUCUGUAGAGUGGGAGCUUAAAGCUGUUCAUUAGUGUACUGAAAAUUACUAGUAUGGGCUUUAAAGAAGAGCUAUGCUCUCUGGUGGCUUUGUUUAGAUGCUAGAAUUGGGGCUUUUCCAUUAAGUUUAAAAUUCAUCUCUCUCCAGGCACUCAGUGUAAAGGUGUAAUCAUUGAUCAGCCUGGUAUUCUUAAUUCAGAAGCUUAACCAUAAGGAAAAUGGCUAUAUAUCUAAAGGAGUAGAAGGUCUAAGAAACUAGUUCAUUGUGGAUAUUUUAUGAUGAUCUCUGUUGAUCAGCAGAAUCCCUCAUAAUGGUACAUUACACCCUUACAAGGAGGAAAGUGUUUUGUUCAUCGACCCAUGUUUCACUAGCUACCAGAAUUUGGAACAGGGAAAUCUCUCAGUUGAUAUUGGAGAACAGCCAGAUAAAAGGAUAAAGAGCCAACAGCGUGAAGCAGUUGUUUUUCUGGCAAAUAGUUUCUGUAUAUGCUCAUCUUAAAAUUAGAAACAAAUCUGAGUUGGGGUAGUUUCUUGUUUAGUAUGUUAAAUUCUGAGUCGACGCUCAUGAAUAUAACAAAGUCAUGUCUGUGGUGAGAACUGCUGCUGUUUCCGACUGUCUUUGCAGUUACAUAGUGAAUCAGUGGCUCCUUUCCUAUUCAGGAAUGUAAACGCUUUCCAAAUUGCUCAGUUGCAAUUGGACACCAUUGUUUGUCGUUCCUGAACUUUAUACUUAAUUUCAGAACUUAAAAAAAAAAAAAAAGAAUGAGACUGUUUUUUUGUUUUUCACUAACAUUUGCAUUUGUCAUUGCUGUGCAAGUUUAGUGUUAUUUCCAGGUAAUGGGAUCUAGACUUGGAUGAAAGACUUUAUGCCCAAAGGGAAUUGUAAUGGGUGGAAUUUUUUGUUAGUUUAUAUUCGAUCUUCUACAAUUAAGAGCAUAAAACAAAACAGUUAUAAUGUAAAUAAACAGCCUCCUGAUAAAUAAUUUAAUGUAACACAUAGUGUACAGUAUGGAAAAUAUUGAUCAAAAUUCCACA
This is a long non-coding RNA of Gopherus evgoodei (Goodes thornscrub tortoise), 1645 nucleotides long. RefSeq lists it as uncharacterized. The record is from RefSeq and is a predicted model, not a curated record. Lineage: Eukaryota; Metazoa; Chordata; Testudines; Testudinidae. The transcript has 3 exons.